AGUGAACGCUGGCGGUAGGCCUAACACAUGCAAGUCGAACGGCAGCACAGGAGAGCUUGCUCUCUGGGUGGCGAGUGGCGGACGGGUGAGGAAUACAUCGGAAUCUACUUUUUCGUGAGGGAUAACGUAGGGAAACUUACGCUAAUACCGCAUACGACCUACGGGUGAAAGCAGGGGAUCUUCGGACCUUGCGCGAUUGAAUGAGACGACGUCGGAUCAGCUAGUUGGCGGGGUAAAGGCCCACCAAGGCGACGAUCCGUAGCUGGUCUGAGAGGAUGAUCAGCCACACUGGAACUGAGACACGGUCCAGACUCCUACGGGAGGCAGCAGUGGGGAAUAUUGGACAAUGGGCGCAAGCCUGAUCCAGCCAUACCGCGUGGGUGAAGAAGGCCUUCGGGUUGUAAAGCCCUUUUGUUGGGAAAGAAAUCCAGCUGGUUAAUACCCGGUUGGGAUGACGGUACCCAAAGAAUAAGCACCGGCUAACUUCGUGCCAGCCGCCGCCGUAA
This 506-nucleotide ribosomal RNA is filed under the name uncultured bacterium. RNAcentral describes it as "partial 16S ribosomal RNA". It matches the Rfam family "Bacterial small subunit ribosomal RNA", at positions 29 to 523 of the family's 1533-position model. The record is from RNAcentral.